UAUGUUUAAGUAUAAGAUGUACAUUAAUUUUUGAUAUUAAAAGAAAUAGUUUGAUUCUAUUAAAUAUAA
Molecule: transfer RNA, 69 nt
Filed under: Bolitobius castaneus
Lineage: Eukaryota; Metazoa; Arthropoda; Insecta; Coleoptera; Staphylinidae
Description: tRNA-Gln
Source: RNAcentral